This is a long non-coding RNA of Marmota monax (woodchuck), 3023 nucleotides long. RefSeq lists it as uncharacterized. The transcript is spliced from 3 exons. The record is from RefSeq and is a predicted model, not a curated record. Lineage: Eukaryota; Metazoa; Chordata; Mammalia; Rodentia; Sciuridae.
UCUCGCCCACCUAUCCAGGCCUUACCCGCUGGGGUGGCCCCGGGACGUCUCCCUGGUUACGCCGGCUCUGUCAUCCACUUUUUUCUCGAUUUCUCUGAGAAAAGAGCAUUUUUCAAUCAAAACCCCAAGAGAGAAUCAGUCAGAAGGAACGAAGCCAGCAGCUCCACCCACCGAGGACGGCUGCGCCGCGGAUCCGGGAGCUCCAGAGUGGGCCCCGACGCUGGUGCAUCCCUCCCCUUCUUCCGUUAGACUCGGCUGGAAGCCGGUGGGACGAUUGCGCGUGCGCCACACCGCCUGCUCGGGUGGCCAGGCAGGCGCGGAAGCCUGACUGCGCACGCGCGCGCGCCGGCCGCGGCUGGUUGCCUGGUGACGCGGGAGCUUCGGCUCGGGUUCUGCGCUCCAGGCUGCUUAGGGCUAACCCGGCUCGUGAAGGUGGGCCUCCUUAGCGCUCUUGGCGGUGCUGUAGGACGCCCGCCGGCCCUCGGCCAGCAGCCCCCCGGGGGGCCCCGGAGCCUUGUGGCGCCCGGCCCGGCUGCAGCGUCCUCCCAUGCCGCCCCGACCUGACUCCUCCCGGGCGAGGCGCGGUCCUCUCUGCGCCCUGAGUCGCAGUCCCCCAGACGGAGCGCGGAACCCGGCCGCCUAGCAGGGGGGCUCGUAGAACGCGAGAUAGCCGGUGGCACGGUGAAGUCCCUGAGCGGGCCGCCCCCCGGCGGCUCCUCCCAUCGCCUGCCGGGUGCCCAGCUCCAGCCCUCGAAGGCUCUGCAGUGAUGUAGGGAGGCCGGAGUCCUGGAGGCAGCCUUGGGUGCCUGAGACGAGCAGAAGAGUUGCAUGGGGCAGACAGGUGGGAAGAGCCGACUCUGGAUGAACCCCCUGGACAGGAACCCAGCUUAACUUGCUCAGCAUCCACAGCACCCUCAGCCACUGCAUCUGUCCAGCAGAUAAGCACAACUAACAGCAAGGCCAGAGACUUCUGCAGCCUGGGAGGCAGUGUCCUCCAUUCGCCAGGAGCUCUGAUGACUUUGGGAGCAGACAGGUUCUUAAGAGCAGCAGGGCCCCUGAGGCCUGUCCUUGCAUCCAUGGGACAAACUUCAUGGAGCGCAUACACUGCUGGAGGCUGCUCUCUUUUGGGAACAAUGUAUUGUGCCAGGCAUGGUGUCCACCCUGUGAUCUCAACUGCUCAGGAAGCUGAGGCAGGAGGAUCACAGGCUCAAGUCAACAGCUUAGUCAGACUGUCUCAACAUAAAAAAGAAAAAGGGCUAGAGUUGUGGCUCAGUGGUAGAGCACCCCUGGAUUCACUGCCUUGUGCUACAAAAAUGAGUAAAAAAAUAUUGUUUUGUGGGGAGACCCACAGAACGUAAGGUGAACCGUGCUGCGCAGUCGAGGCGCUGUACCACCCCCUCCACCGCAGCCUCCUGUCACCCCAAAGCCAGACAAGAGCUAUCAAGCAGUCCCUCCCGCUCCUCCACCGUGGGAGCUGCCCCCCAUCAGGUGGUCUUUGUCACAGCUCCCUUCACUAGCCACAGUGUCUCAGGUUUCAUCCAUGUUGUAGCAGGUGUCAGAGCUCCGUCCCUUUCUAUGGUUAGAUGAUAUUCCACUGUAUUUUUAUUGGUUUGGUUGUCCAGAGAACAGACCCAUGGGAUGUACACACAGAGGGAAAGAGAUUGCUCAUAGGAACUGAUGCAUGCUGACAAGUCCCAAGAGCUGUCCUCAGCAAGUCAGAGGCCUGGGAAAGGUGCUGCGAUGGCUUUCAGUCCAAAGCUGGCAGGAGUCUGGAGUCUGUGGGAAGAAAGCGGUGUGGCUCAGCAGCUGGUGCUGAGCUUCUUACUCUGCCUUUGAUCUACUCAUGCCUUUAGCUGAUUGGAUGAAGCCCACCCACAUUGGGGAGGGCCCUGUUUUUCCUCCUCUACAAAUGUAAACAUCAGUCACCCUCAGACAUACCUUCAGGGACACACUUGGAAUGUAUGCCAAAUGGCCCAGCCAAAUUGACACCUAGGAUUUCCCAGCACAGCAAGGACAGACUACAUGCUGUUUGCAUCCCUUAACUGACACUAGACACCUAGCUGUCUGCGCUGGUGUGGACACAGCUGCAGAGAGCACACGCCAAGAAGUGGAAUUUCUGGGUCUGGGUCCUGGGAAUUCUUUGGGCAGAGUUCAGGCUGAGUCCUCCCUCUGGAAAAUGAGAAUCAGACCACUUGCCACAAUUCUGAAUGUGGCACCCCUUCCAAGAACCUCCCACUCUCACUCUUCUGGUGGGCAGCACAGUGCCCAGAAGGGACAGGGCAUCCCAACAUGGUGGGGAAACCUUGGGCUCACGCUUGUUCUCUGAGAGCCAGGCCCAGGAUGGGCAGCACUUGGCAGUCUAAGAGGGAACGUAGCUUUGGUCUGUGACUCCCUCAAGGUGUGGGCCAGUGCAGUUUAACCUUCCCUUCUCCAGCAUUCUUUCUGGAAUUUGAAAAGAAAUCAAUAAAUAAGGGCAGAAGGGAGCUUGCACUGUGCUGGGCGCUGCACCCCUGGGUACCUGACAUGCUGCCCCUACUGCCCACCAGCACACCCCUUCUGGUCCCACAGGGCUUUCCAGACUCACAGGCCAUAUCCACACCGCCCACGCAGACAUGCUGUGGCUUCCAUGGGUCUUCCUUGGGGCUACAGUCCUCACUGGGGCCAUAAGACCCCUCCUCACAUCCCCCCUACCUGCCGCAGGACUCCCUGGACUGUCCCCAGGAUGGACAAGGUGAGGGAAGAGCUGGUGGGGACUCCUGCCCAGGGUGUUCCCUCCAACAGGCUACCUAUGCCUUGCUGGCAGCCAGGUCCCCACCUCCACCAGCACCUGGCCUCGGCGGGGGCUGACACCCAUGGGGUCUACAGAUGGUGUGGUCCCCAGUUCCCCUGUGGGCCAUGACUGGACUCUCCUGUCAGAAAGACCCAAAGACUCCUGGCUAUCUCCAAACAGGACAGCCCCAAGAAAGCGAGUCAGAUGACACCAAGUUUAGCAAAAUCUGGAUGACCUAAUGGUCAUCAUUUUU